GCAAGUCGCGCGGGCGGAAAGAGAGCUUGCUCUCUGGAAGCCAGCGGCGGACGGGUGAGUAACACGUGGGUAACCUGCCUGACAGACUGGGAUAACGCCUGGAAACGGGUGCUAAUACCGGAUAAUCAGCCUUUAGGCAUCUAAGGGUUGUAAAAGGUGCUACGGCAUCACUGACAGAUGGGCCCGCGGCGCAUUAGCUAGUUGGUGGGGUAACGGCUCACCAAGGCGACGAUGCGUAGCCGACCUGAGAGGGUGAACGGCCACGCUGGGACUGAGACACGGCCCAGACUCCUACGGGAGGCAGCAGUAGGGAAUCUUCCACAAUGGGCGCAAGCCUGAUGGAGCAACGCCGCGUGAGUGAAGAAGGCCUUCGGGUUGUAAAACUCUGUCUUUGGGGACGAAUGGCUGAGAGAGGGAAUGCUCUUGGAUUGACGGUACCCAAGGAGGAAGCCACGGCUAACUACGUGCCAGCAGCCGCGGUAAUACGUAGGUGGCAAGCGUUGUCCGGAAUUACUGGGCGUAAAGCGCGCGCAGGCGGCCAUUUAAGUCUGGGGUGAAAGCCCGGGGCUCAACCCCGGGAUGGCCCUGGAUACUGGAUGGCUUGAGGAUCGGAGAGGCAAGGGGAAUUCCACGUGUAGCGGUGAAAUGCGUAGAGAUGUGGAGGAACACCAGUGGCGAAGGCGCCUUGCUGGCCGAUAACUGACGCUGAG
RNAcentral lists this ribosomal RNA (710 nucleotides) under uncultured Alicyclobacillaceae bacterium. RNAcentral describes it as "bacterial SSU rRNA". It matches the Rfam family "Bacterial small subunit ribosomal RNA", at positions 57 to 750 of the family's 1533-position model. Lineage: Bacteria; Bacillati; Bacillota; Bacilli; Caryophanales; Alicyclobacillaceae. The record is from RNAcentral.